Podarcis lilfordi (Lilford's wall lizard) is the source of this 76-nucleotide non-coding RNA. The record is from the annotation of a GenBank genome assembly. Lineage: Eukaryota; Metazoa; Chordata; Lepidosauria; Squamata; Lacertidae.
GCCAUAGCUCAGUCGAUAGAGCCUCUGCAUUGCAUGCAGAAGGUUCCAGGUUCGAUUCCUGCCACCUCUGGGUACA